Homo sapiens (human) is the source of this 526-nucleotide long non-coding RNA. NCBI's taxonomy places the organism in Eukaryota, Metazoa, Chordata, Mammalia, Primates, Hominidae. The record is from Ensembl.
CGGGAAACCAAAAGCCCCUCUGAAUCCUGCCCACCGAGGUUCUCCCCAGCCAAGACUCAGCUUUGCACUCCAGGGCUGCGUACCACCAGCCACUGUCAUGUUAACCCCUUCCCAGGCCAAUGUGUCCUUGGCCUGGAGCCCAAUCUGCUGGACAGCCUGGGACCGUCCAUUUUCGGGGUGGUGGGCAACCUGGUGGCCAUCGUGGUGCUGUGCAAGUCGCGCAAGGAGCAGAAGGAGACCACCUUCUAUACAGUUAUGCGGCUGGCUGCCACCGACCUGUUGUUCACUUUGCUGGUGAGCCAGGUGACCAUCGCCAUGUACAUGAAGGGCGGGUAACCUGGGGGCCAGCUGCUGUGUGAGUACAGCAUCUUCAGCCUGUUCUUCUUCAGUCAGUCCGGCCUCAGCAUCGUCUGUGCCAUGAUAUCUAUACAGGUAAUUUGUGUUAGACAUUCUUAGAAGAGUUUCAAAAGUUUUAUGUUUUUAUCUGGGUUAUAAACAGAGUCCUCAAAUGCAUACAAAGGAAAUC